UACGGGGGGGGCAAGCGUUGUUCGGAAUUACUGGGCGUAAAGAGCGCGCAGGCGGUCGAUCAAGUCGAGUGUGAAAGCCCCCGGCUCAACUGGGGAGGGUCAUUCGAUACUGAUCGACUCGAAGGCAGGAGAGGGUAGUGGAAUUCCCGGUGUAGUGGUGAAAUGCGUAGAUAUCAGGAGGAACACCGAUGGCGAAGGCAGGUCUCUGGGCUGACACUGACGCUCAUGCACGAAAGCGUGGGGAGCAAACAGG
This 253-nucleotide ribosomal RNA is filed under the name uncultured bacterium. Its description in RNAcentral is "partial 16S ribosomal RNA". It matches the Rfam family "Bacterial small subunit ribosomal RNA", at positions 524 to 776 of the family's 1533-position model. The record is from RNAcentral.